This 432-nucleotide long non-coding RNA is filed under the name Vitis vinifera (wine grape). Its description in RNAcentral is "long non-coding RNA (VVIN_LNC000322)". Lineage: Eukaryota; Viridiplantae; Streptophyta; Magnoliopsida; Vitales; Vitaceae. The record is from RNAcentral.
UCGGGGUGUUCCUGACCCUAAGAUCAGAAUAUAUGAUGUAGGCAUGAAAAAGAAGGGUGUGGAUGAGUUCCCCUUCUGUGUUCAUCUUGUUAGCUGGGAGAAAGAGAAUGUGUCCAGUGAAGCCCUUGAAGCUGCCAGGAUUGCAUGCAACAAAUACAUGACCAAGUUUGCUGGAAAGGAUGCUUUCCACCUCAGGGUGAGAGUCCACCCCUUCCAUGUCCUGCGCAUAAACAAGAUGUUGUCAUGCGCCGGAGCAGAUAGGCUCCAAACUGGUAUGCGGGGGGCCUUUGGAAAGCCCCAAGGGACUUGUGCAAGGGUUAACAUUGGGCAGGUGUUGCUGUCUGUUAGAUGCAAGGAUGGAAAUGGGAACCAUGCACAGGAGGCGCUGAGGAGGGCCAAAUUCAAGUUUCCAGGCAGGCAAAAGAUUAUCGU